RNAcentral lists this ribosomal RNA (1451 nucleotides) under Candidatus Phytoplasma luffae. RNAcentral's name for it is "bacterial SSU rRNA". It matches the Rfam family "Bacterial small subunit ribosomal RNA". Lineage: Bacteria; Bacillati; Mycoplasmatota; Mollicutes; Acholeplasmatales; Acholeplasmataceae. The record is from RNAcentral.
CACUAGUGAUUCAUGCAAGUCGAACGCAAACUUUGCAAAGAGUUUUAGUGGCGAACGGGUGAGUAACACGUAAGUAACCUGCCUUUAAGACGAGGAUAACAAAUGGAAACAUUUGCUAAGACUGGAUAGGAAACAAGAAGGCAUCUUUUUGUUUUUAAAAGACCUCCUAAAAAAAGGUAUGCUUAAAGAGGGGCUUGCGCCACAUUAGUUUGUUGGUAAGGUAAUGGCUUACCAAGACUAUGAUGUGUAGCUGGACUGAGAGGUUGAACAGCCACAUUGGGACUGAGACACGGCCCAAACUCCUACGGGAGGCAGCAGUAGGGAAUUUUCGGCAAUGGAGGAAACUCUGACCGAGCAAUGCCGCGUGAAACGAUGAAAGUAUUUCGGUAUGGUAAAGUUUUUUUAUUGAAGAAGAAAAAUAGUGGAAAAACUAUCUUGACGCUAUUCAAUGAAUAAGCCCCGGCUAACUAUGUGCCAGCAGCCGCGGUAAGACAUAGGGGGCGAGCGUUAUCCGGAAUUAUUGGGCGUAAAGGGUGCGUAGGCGGUUAGUUAAGUCUAUAAUUUAAUUUCAACGCUUAACGUUGUUUUGUUAUAGAAACUGCCUAACUAGAGUGAGAUAGAGGCAAGUGGAAUUCCAUGUGUAGCGGUAAAAUGUGUAAAUAUAUGGAGGAACACCAGAAGCGUAGGCGGCUUGCUGGGUCUUUACUGACGCUGAGGCACGAAAGCGUGGGUAGCAGACAGGAUUAGAUACCCUGGUAGUCCACGCCGUAAACGAUGAGUACUAAGUGUCAGGGUACAACUUGGUACUGAAGUUAACACAUUAAGUACUCCGCCUGAGUAGUACGUACGCAAGUAUGAAACUUAAAGGAAUUGACGGGACUCCGCACAAGCGGUGGAUCAUGUUGUUUAAUUCGAAGAUACACGAAAAACCUUACCAGGUCUUGACAUACUCUGCAAAGUUAUAGAAAUAUAAUGGAGGUUAUCAGGGAUACAGGUGGUGCAUGGUUGUCGUCAGCUCGUGUCGUGAGAUGUUAGGUUAAGUCCUAAAACGAGCGCAACCCUUGUCGUUAGUUACCAGCACGUAAAGGUGGGGACUUUAGCGAGACUGCCAAUUAAAAAUUGGAGGAAGGUGAGGAUUACGUCAAAUCAUCAUGCCCCUUAUGAUCUGGGCUACAAACGUGAUACAAUGGCUGUUACAAAGAGUAGCUGAAACGUGAGUUUUUAGCCAAUCUCAAAAAAGCAGUCUCAGUUCGGAUUGAAGUCUGCAACUCGACUUCAUGAAGUUGGAAUCGCUAGUAAUCGCGAAUCAGCAUGUCUCGGUGAAUACGUUCUCGGGGUUUGUACACGCGCCCGUCAAGCCAUGAAAGUGGACAAUACCCAAAAGCAGUGGCUUAAUUUCGUAAGAAAAGGGAUCUGUCUAAGGUAGGGUCGAUGAUUGGGGUCAAGAAUCG